UGGGGAAUAUUGCACAAUGGAGGGAACUCUGAUGCAGCGACGCCGCGUGAGUGAUGAAGGAAUUCGUUUCGUAAAACUCUGUUCUAUGGGAAGAAAAGGACUGUACCAUAGGAGAAAGCUCCGGCUAAAUACGUGCCAGCAGCCGCGGUAAUACGUAUGGAGCGAGCGUUGUCCGGAAUUAUUGGGCGUAAAGGGUGCGCAGGCGGCUUUACAAGUUGGAUGUGAAAUAUUGUGGCUCAACCACAAACGUGCAUCCAAAACUGCAAAGCUUGAGUUAAGGAGAGGUAAGUGGAAUUCCUGGUGUAGCGGUGGAAUGCGUAGAUAUCAGGAGGAAUUCCGGUGGCGAAGGCGACUUACUGGACUUAAACUGACGCUCAGGCACGAAAGCGUGGGGAGCAAACAGG
RNAcentral lists this ribosomal RNA (404 nucleotides) under Fusobacteriota bacterium. RNAcentral's name for it is "Fusobacteria bacterium partial 16S ribosomal RNA". It matches the Rfam family "Bacterial small subunit ribosomal RNA", at positions 355 to 776 of the family's 1533-position model. The record is from RNAcentral. Lineage: Bacteria; Fusobacteriati; Fusobacteriota.